CGAAGGGGGCGAGCGUUGUUCGGAAUCACUGGGCGUAAAGAGUGCGUAGGCGGUUAUGAAAGUUAGGAGUGAAAGCCCAGGGCUUAACCUUGGAAUUGCUUUUAAUACUACAUAACUCGAAUUCGGGAGAGGAUAGCGGAAUUGUCAGUGUAGCAGUGAAAUGCGUAGAUAUUGACAGGAACACCAGUGGCGUAAGCGGCUAUCUGGACCGACAUUGACGCUGAGGCACGAAAGCGUGGGGAUCAAACAGGAUUAGAUACCCUGGUAGUCCACGCCGUAAACGAUGUGUGUUUGUCGCUGGGGAGUUUACUCUUCGGUGACGGAGCUAACGCGUUAAGCACACCGCCUGGGAAGUACGGUCGCAAGAUUA
RNAcentral lists this ribosomal RNA (370 nucleotides) under uncultured organism. RNAcentral describes it as "bacterial SSU rRNA". It matches the Rfam family "Bacterial small subunit ribosomal RNA", at positions 526 to 896 of the family's 1533-position model. The record is from RNAcentral.